UUGCUCAGAUUCCCACCGAUGGGGGCUUAGGCCAGUGACCACGAUGGCUUUCCUGGAGCUGUAUCCAAUGAUGUGUCUUCAGCAAUGAAAUUUUGCUACUCUUCCAUACAGGAAGUGGAAUCCCUUUGUCUUCCACACCAAAUCUGGCUUGCCUUGGGAUGUGUCAUAACCAACAAAAAGAGAGAUGAAGAUCUCGGGUUCUCCAAAGUUCAAGCCACCAAGGUCCACAUGCCAUCACAGAGUGAAAGCACAGAA
Non-coding RNA from Mus caroli (Ryukyu mouse), 255 nucleotides. Lineage: Eukaryota; Metazoa; Chordata; Mammalia; Rodentia; Muridae. The record is from RefSeq and is a predicted model, not a curated record.